Molecule: long non-coding RNA, 1427 nt
Filed under: Ficedula albicollis (Collared flycatcher)
Lineage: Eukaryota; Metazoa; Chordata; Aves; Passeriformes; Muscicapidae
Description: lncRNA (ENSFALG00000019261.2)
Source: RNAcentral
CCCCCCCCCCCCCCCCCCCCCCCCCCCCCCCCCCCCCCCCCCCCCCCCCCCCCCCCCCCCCCCCCCCCCCCCCCCCCCCCCCCCCCCCCCCCCCCCUUUUUUUUUUUUUUUUGUUUUUUUUUUUUUUUUUUUUUUUUUGUUUUUUUUUUUUUGUUGUUUUUUCCACAGGGAUUCUCCUGGAGAUUCCCAGCUCCCCCUCCUGGCUCUGCCCAAGGGACGCUGGAGGUGACAAUUCCAGGGGUUUGGGAGCCUUUGGAAGGUCGGGCACAGGGAGAGGGGGAAGUGCUUCGUGUGUCUGAUCCCCUCAUCCCGGAAUUCCCGGGGAGAUGGAGGGAGCCAGCUCUGGAUCCAACUCUGGGAAUCCCUGGAGAGCCAGAGGGAUCCACCUCUGGGAAUUCCGGAAGAAUCAGAGGGAUCCAACUCUGAGAAUUUCCAGAGAGCCAGAGGGAUCCAACACUGGAUCCAACACUGGGAAUCCCCAGAGGGAUCCAGCUCUGGGAAUUCCAGAAGAGCCAGAGGGAUCCAGCUCUGGGAAUUCCAGGAGAAUCAGAGGGAUCCAGCUCUGGGAAUUCCCUGAGGGAUCCAGCUCUGGGAAUUCCCUGAGGGAUCCAGCUCUGGGAAUUCCUGGAAAACCAGAGGGAUCCAGCUCUAGAUCCAACACUGGGAAUCCCCAGAGGGAUCCAGCUCUGAGAAUUCCUAGAGGAAUCCAACACUGGGAAUUCCAGGAGAGCUGGAGGGAUCCAACUCUGGGAAUUCCUGGAGGGAUCCAACACUGGGAAUUCCUGGAGACCCAGAUCGGGAAUCCCCAGAGGGAUCCAGCUCUGAGAAUUCCUAGAGGAAUCCAACACUGGGAAUUCCAGGAGAGCUGGAGGGAUCCAACUCUGGGAAUUCCUGGAGGGAUCCAACACUGGGAAUUCCUGGAGACCCAGAUGGAUCCAACUCUGGGAAUUCCUGGAGGGAUCCAGCUCUUGGAAUUCCCAAAGGAUCCAACACUGGGAAUUCCCAGAGAACCAAAGAUAUCUAACACUGGAUCCAGCUCUGGGAAUUUCCAGACAACCAGCGAGAUCCAGCUCUGGGAAUCCCCAGAGAGAUCCAGCUCCCAAAAUUCCUGCAGAGCUGGAGGAAUCCAACACUGGAUCCAGCUCUAGGAAUUUCUGGAGAGCCAGAGAGAUCCAGCUCUGGGAAUUUCUGGAGGGAUCCAACACUGGGAACUCCAGGAGAACUGGAAGGAUCCAACAUUGGGAAUUCCCAGAGAGCUCAAGGGAUCCGACACUGGAUCCAACACUGGGAAUUCCAGGAGAGCCAGAGGGAUCCAACACUGGAUCCAACACUGGGAAUUCCCAGAGAGCUGAAGGGAUCCAACACUGGAUCCACCACUGGGAAUUCCCAGAGAACCAGAGGGAUCCAACACUGGGAAUUUCUGGAGG